GUCUUGCUUUCACAGGGCAUCUACUAAAAUUGGGACAAUUCAGAGAAGGUUAGCAUGCCUUCUGCUCAAGGAUGACAUGCACAUUUUUGAAUCAUUUUAUAUUUUU
This is a small nuclear RNA of Carlito syrichta (Philippine tarsier), 106 nucleotides long. NCBI's taxonomy places the organism in Eukaryota, Metazoa, Chordata, Mammalia, Primates, Tarsiidae. The record is from Ensembl.